CAUCACAAAUGCAAACAUCCCUGGGCUUCUUCAAAACAGGAGACUCCAAUGGGGUUUAAAUGGGAUCAGAGGCAGCCAAGAGAGCAGAUCAAAUCAGGGAUCCAUGAAAAUCUCCUGGAAUCUAAGGUCUAGCAAGGUCUGGAGACAUGGCUUGAUCCACGUGAGAACCAGCCCUAAGGGGAAGUCCAACGAGGGUCUGAGGCUCCAAGUUUCUACUGUGGAAGCCAAACCCCAGCCCAACACAGCAGCUUAGACCCUCAGCUCACAGGGCCACACAGUCUUGGCUGGGCGUUUGGAAGCUCGCUUACUAAACACCGCCCCAGUGGAUCAGCAGUGCCAUCGUUCCCCCUUUCCUGGACUAAGGUUUGCUCAUUACACACAGUGUCGGCAGCUGGUGAGUGUCUUUUGCAAUUCAUCAGAGGCCUCCCAGACCACCUGCUCUCCGCAUCCUGCAAACAGCUGGCUCUGGCACAAGGAUAUAAAGCAAAAUCAGCAAAGGGAAAAGGAACAUGAAGUCCAAGGGAAGCCAGGUACAAGCUCCCAAGGAUCCUUUCCCAGAGACGUCACAAAGAAUGCACCUAAAUCUCCCAGCAACAAGUGUGACAACACACGUAAAACGUUACUAACCCAGGAACCUCACCAGAGUCUCAGGACCCAGAGUUUUUACUGGUGGCUGAUCAUGUAGGCAGCGUCAGCCUGACACAUAUCAACAUUUCAGAUUCCCAGAAGGAAGGCAAGUACAUUGUUUACACAAUGUAGGCACCAUGAACCACUCUUCUUAAAGCUGAGAGCUUUUCUGGUGGCUCAGGUGGUAAAGAAUCUGCCUGCAAUGCAAGAGACUUGGGUUCGAUCCCUGGGUCAGAAAGAUCCCCUGGAGAAGGGAAUGGCUACCCACUCCAGUAUUCUUACCUGGAGAAUUCCAUGGACCGAGGAGCCUGAUGGGCUACAGUCCAUGGGGGUCGCAAAGAAUCAGAGUGACUAACACUUAAAGCUGGGAAUGAUGAGAGCUUCCCCAAACCCAAGUUCCCAGAUGCCAGCCAACUUUGAAGCUGGUGUUUCAAAGAAGAACACUCAUCCUUGUGACCCUGGGACCAGACCUUGUAAGCACAUGUUCCUUUUCAAGUGAAGCCAUUUCUCUGUCAACAGAGGCCACUGGAGUGCCACCACAAGGUCACAACCACAGGAAGGGGCUCCUCAUGCUAGUUUCAUGGUGCCAUUUGCCUUUGGCCUGACUGCAAACACAUCAGGAUACAGGCGCCCCAGUGGUGCCUCACCAGCCCUCGGGGACCACCUCCAGCCUCAUCCCUGCGCCCUCCAGCAGUCGUCUUCCCCACCCAGGGGUGCUGUUUCCUGCGGACCAGCACCAGCUGUGCCUUCUAGCAAGCUUCUCCACUGCCAGCAUGCUGCAUGUUCCUGUGGCAGUCAUGUCCUCUCCGAGAAGGUCUGGAUCUCAGCCUUGUGGGACAGAGGGAAAGCGUCUUCUCCUUCAGUCCUUAGUUCCUUCCUUAUUUGUGCUUUGUUGUCGUUAUUGUUGUUCAGGCAGUUAGUCGUGUCCAACUCUUUGCGACCCCAUGGACUGCACAGCACGCCAGGCUUCCCUUAUCUCCUUCAUUAUCUCCUGGAGUUUGCUCAAACUCACUCACGUCCAUUGAAUUGGUGAUGCCAUCCAACCAUCUCAUCCUCUGUCAGCACCUUUUCCCCACUCCUAGCCGUAGAAGGCAAUGGCACCCCACUCCAGUACCCUUGCCUGGAAAAUCCCAUGGAUGGAGGAGCCUGGUAGGCUGUAGUCCAUGGGGUCGCUAAGAGUUGGACACGACUGAGCGACUUCCCUUUCACUU
This is a long non-coding RNA of Bubalus bubalis (water buffalo), 1838 nucleotides long. RefSeq lists it as uncharacterized. The record is from RefSeq and is a predicted model, not a curated record. NCBI's taxonomy places the organism in Eukaryota, Metazoa, Chordata, Mammalia, Artiodactyla, Bovidae. The transcript is spliced from 5 exons.